Molecule: ribosomal RNA, 408 nt
Filed under: uncultured bacterium
Lineage: Bacteria
Description: bacterial SSU rRNA
Rfam family: Bacterial small subunit ribosomal RNA
Source: RNAcentral
AGAGUUUGAUCCUGGCUCAGAACGAACGCUGGCGGCAGGCUUAACACAUGCAAGUCGAACGCUCGUAGCAAUACGGGAGUGGCAGACGGGUGAGUAACGCGUGGGAACAUACCCUCCGGUUCGGAAUAGCUCAGGGAAACUUGGAUUAAUACCGGAUACGGCUGAGAGGCGAAAGAUUUAUCGCCGGAGGAUUGGCCCGCGUUCGAUUAGCUUGUUGGUGAGGUAACGGCUCACCAAGGCGAUGAUCGAUAGCUGGUCUGAGAGGAUGAUCAGCCACAUUGGGACUGAGACACGGCCCAAACUCCUACGGGAGGCAGCAGUGGGGAAUAUUGGACAAUGGGCGCAAGCCUGAUCCAGCCAUGCCGCGUGAGUGAUGACGGCCUUAGGGUUGUAAAGCUCUUCGCUCGG